CGGCAGCGCGGACUUNCGGUCCUGGCGGCGAGUGGCGAACGGGUGAGUAAUAUAUCGGAACGUGCCCAGUAGCGGGGGAUAACUACUCGAAAGAGUAGCUAAUACCGCAUACGCCCUACGGGGGAAAGGGGGGGAUCGCAAGACCUCUCACUAUUGGAGCGGCCGAUAUCGGAUUAGCUAGUUGGUGAGGUAAAGGCUCACCAAGGCGACGAUCCGUAGCUGGUUUGAGAGGACGACCAGCCACACUGGGACUGAGACACGGCCCAGACUCCUACGGGAGGCAGCAGUGGGGAAUUUUGGACAAUGGGGGAAACCCUGAUCCAGCCAUUCCGCGUGUGCGAUGAAGGCCUUCGGGUUGUAAAGCACUUUUGGCAGGAAAGAAAUCGCAUGGAUUAAUACUCUGUGUGGAUGACGGUACCUGCAGAAUAAGCACCGGCUAACUACGUGCCAGCAGCCGCGGUAAUACGUAGGGUGCAAGCGUUAAUCGGAAUUACUGGGCGUAAAGCGUGCGCAGGCGGUUCGGAAAGAAAGGUGUGAAAUCCCAGGGCUUAACCUUGGAACUGCACUUUUAACUACCGAGCUAGAGUAUGUCAGGGGGGGGUGGAAUUCCNCGUGUANCAGUG
This 623-nucleotide ribosomal RNA is filed under the name uncultured bacterium. RNAcentral's name for it is "bacterial SSU rRNA". It matches the Rfam family "Bacterial small subunit ribosomal RNA", at positions 67 to 683 of the family's 1533-position model. The record is from RNAcentral.